AUACUCACCUGUCAGGGGGAUCCCCUGACCAUGAAGGUAGUUUUCCCAUGGUGAGGCUUAUUUAUUGCACUCUGGAUGUGCUGACCCCUCCAGUCUAUUCCCAAAUGUGGGAAACUUGGCCACCUUUGGUAGUGGGGGACUUUGUGCUUUCCCCAA
Molecule: non-coding RNA, 156 nt
Organism: Arvicanthis niloticus (Nile rat)
Lineage: Eukaryota; Metazoa; Chordata; Mammalia; Rodentia; Muridae
Source: RefSeq, a predicted model, not a curated record